CGACGGGAGUCCUGGCUGUGCAAACUCAAUGUCUGUGUUGCCGCUUCGCCCAAGCUUCCAGCUGAAGAACUGGUG
Molecule: microRNA precursor, 75 nt
Filed under: Echinops telfairi (small Madagascar hedgehog)
Lineage: Eukaryota; Metazoa; Chordata; Mammalia; Afrosoricida; Tenrecidae
Description: miRNA (ENSETEG00000022459.1)
Source: RNAcentral